Long non-coding RNA from Heterocephalus glaber (naked mole-rat), 1529 nucleotides. NCBI's taxonomy places the organism in Eukaryota, Metazoa, Chordata, Mammalia, Rodentia, Bathyergidae. The record is from Ensembl.
ACUUGAACCUCCUCUGGAAAUGGGCAACAAGAGGAGGAGAAUGAAUCUGCUGCCCUCUACAACAUGAUUAUUGAGACCUACCUGGGAACAACUCAUCACUCAAGCUGAACAAACACUGCAAAACACUGGUAUUCUUUUCACUCCAAAAAACCUCUUCCUGGCAAUGCUGAACAAAUUACUUCAACACCUGAACAUAUUAGACAAUGGUGCUUUUUAGGCAAUUUUAUUGCAAUUAUUGUCAUUGUUAGUACAUUGCUCACUAUUUUGGUGGCUGUAGCAUUUGCUUUAACUCACUCUAUCCAAACUGCUCAAACUAUGAAUGGCUAUUUCCAAAAUAUUACUUCAGAAUUAUCAACUCAAACCAAUAUGAUAAAGAAAUUCUACAAAGACUUAAUGAUCUUGAGGCAGCUUUCAACUGGCUCAGUGGACACCAACAGACCCUAUGGACAUGAAGAUGGUUUACUUGUGAUGCUGGUCAUCACUCAAUGUGUAUUACUCCUAUUACUUUCAAUCAUUCUGUAUUUGAGAGGAGAAUCAACACCUUUUCCAUGGUGGAUUUCAUACAAAUCUGCAUGGAGAUGUGACUAAUCUACAGGGCCAAAUUCAAGCCCAACUUCAUAAACUUCAAAUGGAGUCUUGGAACAUCUUGAAGUUAUUGCCUACUGGUUCUAAAAACUGAUUCUCUGGCCUCCACCUUCACAUUUGGAUUCUUACAGUUAUUAGAAUAAUGUUUUUCUGCUCUUUCUUACAGCCUUAGUAACGCUCUGUAUCCUGUUCCAAUGGACCCUCCAUGCAGAAGCCAUGAUAACCUUCCUACACCAAGCCCAAUAGUCCUCUACCAUGUACUUUCCUCCUCUGCUCAAUCUGAGUUAUAAAACAAAAAGGAAGAAUUGUGAGAAGACUCUGGACAAAGGAGGGAAUGAAGUUAGUAAUCUUGGGAGGAAUUGGAACCUUUGAGAAAUGAGGCCUUGUGGAAUGACCUUACAUCAUCAGAAACCUGACCCUGAAGGAAAUUCUGGAACUACAACCAACUUUUCUCUUGUAGUUUGUUGGUCAUUAGCUAAGUAGUUUUUCUCUGCCACAUACCUUUGUUAUGACAAGCUACAUUAUCACAAGUCCAAAGCAGUUUGGCUAAUUGAUCAUGAACAGGAACACACAAAACUAUGAAACAAAUAUUUUCUAAGUUUAUUAUCUCAUUUAUAUUGUAGUGACAGAAAACUACCACAACUUCUCAGUUAUACUUCUUUUUUUUCUUUUCUCAUUGUUUACUCUGAAUAUUGCAAUGUGUAUUUAUAACUAAUGUAAGUUCAUUUUAAUAUAACACUCAUCACUUCUGGGCCUUUUGGCUAAGAUCAAAUGUAGUAUAAUACUCUACUGAUACACAGAUAGUGAAGAAUAUGUUAGCAAAAUAUCCUAAUUCUUUUCUUUGUAUCAUUGUUGUCAUUCAUUCAAUUUAUUUGUAAGAUAACAUAUAUAUGUAUAUACAUGACAUAGAAUUUGAUAUAUUAUUGCUGUUAUUUUUAAGAAAC